UUCUUAUCGAGAGAGACGGAGGGACUGGCCCUAUGAUGUCCGGCAACCUGAAUAUUUUAUAUUCAAUGGUGCUAAUUCCAGCAGGGAUAACCUGAAAGAUGAGAA
This is a non-coding RNA of Clostridium autoethanogenum DSM 10061, 105 nucleotides long. The record is from Rfam. NCBI's taxonomy places the organism in Bacteria, Bacillati, Bacillota, Clostridia, Eubacteriales, Clostridiaceae.